GAGGAAACCAUGAAGUGCCGUGCAUCAGCCUGAACAAUCUCUACACUUCCAUCCUCAUGCCAAAAUUGUAAAAAUUGAUGAAGUGAAGAGGGUACACACUACUCCCAUGGAUCCAAUCUAGGCCUAACAAAGCAUUGAAAUGGGUUGUCUCCACCGCAAAGAAGGCAAUCAUUCUAACCUUUUGCUCCCUUCUAACUUGGAGUAGGAUAAUCU
RNAcentral lists this long non-coding RNA (213 nucleotides) under Prunus persica (peach). RNAcentral's name for it is "long non-coding RNA (PPER_LNC006965)". Lineage: Eukaryota; Viridiplantae; Streptophyta; Magnoliopsida; Rosales; Rosaceae. The record is from RNAcentral.